CCCCUUUUCUUGAACAUCGCAAACACCUAUAUCUGUUAUGCCGUCUUCGGGCGGCUAUGGUGAUAAAUAGGCGGUGAAAUAAACCUAUUGGACCCGGGGGCGGUACCCGGCGCCUCCACCAAAAACCGGUCGUUUCGAUGGACCGGCUUUUGAUGGGGGCGAAAUAGGAUCGACAAGGGCGUAAAGAUCGACUUUUUACCCGGCAUUGUACCACCGUUAUCGGGCUAAACUAGUAGUUGCAAACGACAACUAUGCGGAAGCUCGUCUCGCUGCUUAAUCGCAGUGUGACACUUCAAAUCAAGUCCUAAGGGGUCGCACUCUUGGGCGGGGUCCGAAGGCACCUGGCAACAGAAGCCUUCACC
This 362-nucleotide transfer-messenger RNA is filed under the name Rhizobium sp. Root482. Its description in RNAcentral is "Alphaproteobacteria transfer-messenger RNA". It matches the Rfam family "Alphaproteobacteria transfer-messenger RNA". Rfam says of the family: Bacterial tmRNA, also known as 10Sa RNA or SsrA, is named for its dual tRNA and mRNA-like properties. Its role is to liberate the mRNA from a stalled ribosome. The record is from Rfam by way of RNAcentral. Lineage: Bacteria; Pseudomonadati; Pseudomonadota; Alphaproteobacteria; Hyphomicrobiales; Rhizobiaceae.